UGGGGAAUAUUGCACAAUGGGCGCAAGCCUGAUGCAGCCAUGCCGCGUGUGUGAAGAAGGCCUUCGGGUUGUAAAGCACUUUCAGCGAGGAGGAAGGUGGUGAGCUUAAUACGCUCAUCAAUUGACGUUACUCGCAGAAGAAGCACCGGCUAACUCCGUGCCAGCAGCCGCGGUAAUACGGAGGGUGCAAGCGUUAAUCGGAAUUACUGGGCGUAAAGCGCACGCAGGCGGUUUGUUAAGUCAGAUGUGAAAUCCCCGGGCUCAACCUGGGAACUGCAUUUGAAACUGGCAAGCUAGAGUCUCGUAGAGGGGGGUAGAAUUCCAGGUGUAGCGGUGAAAUGCGUAGAGAUCUGGAGGAAUACCGGUGGCGAAGGCGGCCCCCCUGGACGAAGACUGACGCUCAGGUGCGAAAGCGUGGGGAGCAAAACAGGAUUAGAUACCCUGGUAGUCCACGCUGUAAAACGAUGUCGAUUUGGAGGUUGUGCCCUUGAGGCGUGGCUUCCGGAGCUAACGCGUUAAAUCGACCGCCU
This 530-nucleotide ribosomal RNA is filed under the name uncultured bacterium. RNAcentral describes it as "partial 16S ribosomal RNA". It matches the Rfam family "Bacterial small subunit ribosomal RNA", at positions 355 to 874 of the family's 1533-position model. The record is from RNAcentral.